GGUUGUAGCUCAGUGGCAGAGUGCUUGCCUAGCACACGUGAGGCACUGGGUUCAAUCCUCAGAACCA
This 67-nucleotide transfer RNA is filed under the name Marmota monax (woodchuck). RNAcentral describes it as "tRNA.Ala". The record is from RNAcentral. Lineage: Eukaryota; Metazoa; Chordata; Mammalia; Rodentia; Sciuridae.